GGGGACGACAUCUUUCUCAUAUGAAUAAGUGGGAGAUGUUGAUAACAUUGAAGAGUCCACCCAUAUGGGGAUGGGACUCCUAUCUGAUAAGGUUAUCAAAUAAGAGAUCAAAUUUGAAUUAAGCUCUAUCCUUUGUGAGAUAGAGUUUGAGUUUGAAUCAAUUAUUAGAUAGUUAUUCCAAUUCUAUAAACAUAGUACUCUCCCAUUGUUGAGAGAACACUCUUCCAACAACAAGAAAAUGCUCUCUCUUCAAGGUGGACUGACUCUGGUAGCCGCCUCUAUGACCACAGG
Molecule: long non-coding RNA, 291 nt
Filed under: Elaeis guineensis (African oil palm)
Lineage: Eukaryota; Viridiplantae; Streptophyta; Magnoliopsida; Arecales; Arecaceae
Description: long non-coding RNA (EGUI_LNC008345)
Source: RNAcentral